Molecule: ribosomal RNA, 524 nt
Filed under: uncultured bacterium
Lineage: Bacteria
Description: partial 16S ribosomal RNA
Rfam family: Bacterial small subunit ribosomal RNA
Source: RNAcentral
GACGAACGCUGGCGGCGUGCCUAAUACAUGCAAGUCGAGCGCAGGAAACUGACGGAACUCUUCGGAGGGAAGGCAGCGGAAUGAGCGGCGGACGGGUGAGUAACACGUAAGGAACCUACCUCAAGGAUUGGGAUAACUCCGAGAAAUCGGAGCUAAUACCGGAUAGUUCAUCGGACCGCAUGGUCCGUUGAUGAAAGGCGCUCCGGCGUCACCUUGAGAUGGCCUUGCGGUGCAUUAGCUAGUUGGUGGGGUAACGGCCCACCGAGGCGACGAUGCAUAGCCGACCUGAGAGGGUGAUCGGCCACACUGGGACUGAGACACGGCCCAGACUCCUACGGGAGGCAGCAGUAGGGAAUCUUCCACAAUGGACGAAAGUCUGAUGGAGCAACGCCGCGUGAGUGAUGAAGGUUUUCGGAUCGUAAAACUCUGUUGUAAGGGAAGAACACGUACGAGAGGAAAUGCUCGUACCUUGACGGUACCUUACGAGAAAGCCACGGCUAACUACGUGCCAGCCGCCGCAGUAA